This 492-nucleotide ribosomal RNA is filed under the name uncultured bacterium. RNAcentral's name for it is "partial 16S ribosomal RNA". It matches the Rfam family "Bacterial small subunit ribosomal RNA", at positions 29 to 507 of the family's 1533-position model. The record is from RNAcentral.
AGUGAACGCUGGCGGUAGGCCUAACACAUGCAAGUCGAACGGCAGCACAGUAAGGGCUUGCUCUUACGGGUGGCGAGUGGAGGACUGGUGCGGAAUACGUCGGAAUCUACUUUUUCGUGGGGGAUAACGUAGGGAAACUCACGCUAAUACCGCAUAAGACCUACGGGUGAAAGCAGGGGCUCUUCGUACCUUGCGCGAUUGAGUGAGCCGAUGUCGGAUUAGCUAGUUGGCGGGGUAAAGGCCCACCAAGGCGACGAUCCGUAGCUGGUCUGAGAGGAUGACCAGCCACACUGGAACUGAGACACGGUCCAGACUCCUACGGGAGGCAGCAGUGGGGAAUAUUGGACAAUGGGCGCAAGCCUGAUCCAGCAAUACCGCGUGGGUGAAGAAGGCCUUCGGGUUGUAAAGCCCUUUUGUAGGGAAAGAAAAGCAGCCGUCUAAUACCCCGGUGUUCUGACGGUACCCAAAGAAUAAGCACCGGCUAACUUCGUG